RNAcentral lists this long non-coding RNA (1356 nucleotides) under Populus trichocarpa (black cottonwood). Its description in RNAcentral is "long non-coding RNA (PTRI_LNC004645)". The record is from RNAcentral. Lineage: Eukaryota; Viridiplantae; Streptophyta; Magnoliopsida; Malpighiales; Salicaceae.
GACAACGGUAGGCUUGAUAAUACAUGGGCCUGAUUUGUUAUGAUUUUUUUUAUCUUUUUAUUCGAAUAAAAAAACUGCCCUAAUCAUUCUAUAGAAAAUAAAAGGAAAGAAAAAUCAACGAAAUCAUACUCCCAAAAGGUGCAAGUCAAACCAAUACUUACAAGUUAGGCCUGGUAACAUCUAGACUUACAAGUUAGGGCUUCAGCCCACUCCGAGGAAAGAAUUUCUACAUUGAAUGACAACCUUCUCAGUUGUAAAAUGCAUGCCUUGUGCCGGAACCCUAACUCCACCCACCAAUGACACUCGGAAAUAGGGAGGCCAUGGCAUCUUAAUCAUUCAUCCUGGUCAUCUCGCGGCCAUGCCUCCUUGUUUGAGAGCACUUUGAGCUCCCACGGUGAUCAAAAUCAGAUGGUACUCCCAGCUUCAACCCAACCCAUCCAGACUUCACAAUCGCAUUCAAGCUCACUCUUGAGAGUAGAACGGAGUGCAAAGCAUUAGGGAAGAAACUCAGAUUUCGUCCAAAAACUGUCCCCGUGUCCCGGUCUAAACUUCUGUUUUUUUUUUUUUUUUUUUUUGUGGACAUGAGAACUAUCUGUACUUCUUAAAUCUUUUGUCAUAACACAUUUAGGACGGCAAAAGUGAGAAUUCCAAGAGCCUAUCGGGUACAUAAGGUGCUUUAACGCCGAAGAUCCAAAUGAUGAUAACAGGCAACAAGUUUCUGGAGUUCUCAAAAGACAAAGGAAGAAAUUCCAUGAAAAUAAUGCUGAAAGUCUGGAGUGGAAAGGCAACGAAAACUUGGGAGAUGUGACAGAUGUGAAAAAAUUGCACAUUGAGAACCAUAUCAAAUCUAUUCAGGAUCGAAAUAUGAACACAACAGAGAAAAGUAACUAGAUCUUUGAAACCUGUGGUAGAACAUAAUAACUUUCAGCUACCUCGUGUUUUCAGCGAAAAAUGCUGUCACUCUGUUUAGUCCAUACUUUUUUUAUUCAUAUAUUUGUACCAAAAAAAGUUACCCUGAAUACCAUUAAUUUACCCUUUCAAGCACAAAUUCUCUGUCAUUCAUAGAACACAAUAUAUUGUCAUUAGCAAAAUGUAACAGAAUGAUGAAAAUGAUGAGUAAGAAAAUGCAAACAAACCAAAUAGAGGGGCAUGAUUUCCAUGCAUGCAGGCACACCAAAAAACAAAAAACAAAAUAGUGCACCUUAUAUUUCCUAUUAUAAAUUGUCAAAGGUAAUAGGUAAAAUGCUUGACUCGCAAAAUUUAACUCAGCUGAACUUAAUCAAAAUCUAACAGGCUAACUCCAUGAUUUUUAGACAGGGCCAAUGCAAUUCUAUGUACUUGUGUACUAAGAUNNNN